Molecule: small nuclear RNA, 161 nt
Organism: Phodopus roborovskii (desert hamster)
Lineage: Eukaryota; Metazoa; Chordata; Mammalia; Rodentia; Cricetidae
Product: U1 spliceosomal RNA
Exons: 1
Source: RefSeq, a predicted model, not a curated record
ACACUUUCCUUGUUGGGGGGAUAACAUGAUCAUGGAGGUGGUUUGCCCAGGGCCAGGCUUAUCCAUUGCACUCUGGAUGUGCUGAUCCCUGUGAUUCCCCUAAAUUCAGGAAACUCAACUACAUAACUGUGGUAGUGGGGGACUGUGUGCGCUCUCUCCUG